CUACGGGGGGCAGCAGUGAGGAAUAUUGCACAAUGGGGGGAACCCUGAUGCAGCAACGCCGCGUGGAGGAUGACGCAUUUCGGUGUGUAAACUCCUUUUAUAUGUCAAGAAAAUGACGGUAGCAUAUGAAUAAGCACCGGCUAACUCCGUGCCAGCAGCCGCGGUAAUACGGAGGGUGCAAGCGUUACUCGGAAUCACUGGGCGUAAAGGACGCGUAGGCGGGUUGGAAAGUCAGGUGUGAAAUCCUACAGCUUAACUGGAGAACUGCACUUGAAACUUCUAAUCUAGAGUAUGGGAGGGGGAGAUGGAAUUAGUGGUGUAGGGGUAAACUCCGUAGAUAUCACUAGGAAUACCUAAAGCGAAGGCGAUCUCCUGGAACAUUACUGACGCUAAGGCGUGAAAGCGUGGGGAGCAAACAGGAUUAGAUACCCUCGUAGUC
This 439-nucleotide ribosomal RNA is filed under the name uncultured bacterium. Its description in RNAcentral is "partial 16S ribosomal RNA". It matches the Rfam family "Bacterial small subunit ribosomal RNA", at positions 339 to 795 of the family's 1533-position model. The record is from RNAcentral.